CGUGUAGGCGGAUGGGGACGUCGGUUGCUGAAAGCCCCCGGCUCAACCGGGGAACUGGCGCCGAAACGCCUCGUCUUGAGGGACGUAGGGGGACCUGGAACUUCCGGUGGAGCGGUGAAAUGCGUUGAGAUCGGAAGGAACGCCCGUGGCGAAAGCGAGGUCCUGGACGUUUUCUGACGCUGAGACGCGAAAGCUAGGGUAGCGAACG
This 208-nucleotide ribosomal RNA is filed under the name uncultured bacterium. RNAcentral describes it as "partial 16S ribosomal RNA". It matches the Rfam family "Bacterial small subunit ribosomal RNA", at positions 568 to 774 of the family's 1533-position model. The record is from RNAcentral.